This 496-nucleotide ribosomal RNA is filed under the name uncultured bacterium. RNAcentral describes it as "partial 16S ribosomal RNA". It matches the Rfam family "Bacterial small subunit ribosomal RNA", at positions 28 to 506 of the family's 1533-position model. The record is from RNAcentral.
GAUGAACGCUGGCGGCGUGCCUAAUACAUGCAAGUCGAGCGAACAGACGAGGAGCUUGCUCCUCUGACGUUAGCGGCGGACGGGUGAGUAACACGUGGAUAACCUACCUAUAAGACUGGGAUAACUUCGGGAAACCGGAGCUAAUACCGGAUAAUAUAUUGAACCGCAUGGUUCAAUAGUGAAAGACGGUUUUGCUGUCACUUAUAGAUGGAUCCGCGCCGCAUUAGCUAGUUGGUAAGGUAACGGCUUACCAAGGCAACGAUGCGUAGCCGACCUGAGAGGGUGAUCGGCCACACUGGAACUGAGACACGGUCCAGACUCCUACGGGAGGCAGCAGGAGGGAAUCUUCCGCAAUGGGCGAAAGCUUGACGGAGCAACGCCGCGUGAGUGAUGAAGGUCUUCGGUUCGUAAAACCCUGUUAUUAGGGAAGAACAAAUGUGUAAGUAACUAUGCACGUCUUGACGGUACCUAAUCAGAAGACCACGGCUAACUACGU